AAUGCAGCGUGUGUGAAGAAGGCCUGCGGGUUGUAAAGCACUUUCAGUAGGGAAGAAAAGCUUAGGGUUAAUACCCGUGAGUCUUGACGUUACCUACAGAAGAAGCACCGGCUAACUCCGUGCCAGCAGCCGCGGUAAUACGGAGGGUGCAAGCGUUAAUCGGAAUUACUGGGCGUAAAGCGCGCGUAAGCGGCUUGGUAAGUCGGAUGUGAAAGCCCCGGGCUUAACCUGGGAAUUGCAUUCGAUACUGCCUGGCUAUAGUAUGGUAGAGGGAAGUGGAAUUUCCGGUGUAGCGGUGAAAUGCGUAGAUAUCGGAAGGAACACCAGUGGCGAAGGCGACUUCCUGAGACAAUACUGACGCUCAGGUGCGAAAGCGUGGGGAGCACACAGGAUUAGAUACCCUGGUAGUCC
This 411-nucleotide ribosomal RNA is filed under the name uncultured Gammaproteobacteria bacterium. RNAcentral's name for it is "bacterial SSU rRNA". It matches the Rfam family "Bacterial small subunit ribosomal RNA", at positions 393 to 796 of the family's 1533-position model. Lineage: Bacteria; Pseudomonadati; Pseudomonadota; Gammaproteobacteria. The record is from RNAcentral.